This 4566-nucleotide long non-coding RNA is filed under the name Sus scrofa (pig). RNAcentral's name for it is "lncRNA (ENSSSCG00060039365.1)". The record is from RNAcentral. Lineage: Eukaryota; Metazoa; Chordata; Mammalia; Artiodactyla; Suidae.
UUUUUUUUUUUUUUAAAGAAAACCAUGAAGUGCAUAGGCCAAAUUAUAUCACACAGGUUUGGUAUAUUCAUACUUGCAAUAUUACGUUAAACCUUGAUGCUGGCCGUUUGGUACUAUAAUGAUGUGUCAGGAAACUUUCUUCCCUUUGGUGGUCUGGUACUUGCCAAGAAUGAUGAGGGUGGCUAAUUGGAUGUUAUACCAUGCUCAUCUCUGGCUUAGGGAUACAGAGACACAAGGGAAUACAGGACAAAGGUUGCAACUAUUUCAUGGAAUCAGCACAGUAUUUUGUACAGGAUAACUUUUGAGAAAAAUUAAAAAUUAUCUGUAUUAAUUUAAAUCAGGUACAACAUACACACAUCCAAAUCUCACUUUCUAACACCAAAGUUUGAAAUCAUGACUAAAUUCAACAGAGUACCUCAGAAGACACAUUUUUAAAAAAAGACUCUUGGAUAUUUUAAUAAUAUUAAAGAUUUGGAGUUCCCAUCGUGGCUCAGUGGUUAACUAAUCCGACUAGGAACCACGAGGUUGCGGGUUCGAUCCCUGGCCUUGCUCAGUGGGUUAAGGAUCCAGCAUUGCUGUGAGCAGCGGCUUAGAAAAAAAGGCAAAAAGACAAAAAAAUAAAAAAUGAAAAAAGAUUAGAUAAGAAAUCUAAUAUAAUUAAUCUAAUCUAAUCUUUAAGAAAGAUUAUAUAUUUGGGUGAAAAUAGACUAUUAUAUUUUAAACCAAUGUAAUAUUCCAUAAAGGUAUAGGUAUAUUUUAUUUCUUUGAUUUCACUUUACAAACUUGUUAUUUAGCUACUCAAUAAAUGUGAAAACUAGAUACUAUUGUACAGACCUUGGACUCAGAAUAUGUAAAUCUAUGUGUUUAAUGUGUGAAUUUGGCAAACCUCUGUGGCUUCUAAACCUCUGUUUUACCUACAAGACUCCUAUAAAUCUUAUGUACUUGUUCCUUGUUAGAGAAGUUUUAUUAACCUACCCUUAAUAUGCUUUCAAGCUAUUAGAAAAUAAUGUUAAGUUUCAACUUCUGAGAUUUUAAAGUAGUAGUGAGAUGCAUUAGUUUAAUUUUGCUUGUCAUGAGACUUCUGAAGACCAAAUUACCUUGCCCCCAAAUUCAUACAUUGAAGCCCCACACCCCUGCAAUGUGAUUAUUUAGAGAUUUAGAGAUAAGGCUUUAUCAGGUUAUUAAGUUUAGAUGAGGUUUUAAGGGUGGGGCUCUGAUCCAAUAGGUUAAUAUGCUUUAAGAGACACCAAGGUCCUUGUCUGUUACCUCAAUCUCUCUGUUGCCCUCUCUUUCAUGUGAAGACAAAACAAGAAGGCAGGCAUCUGCAAGCCAGGAAGAGAGUCUCAUCAGAACCUAAAUGUGCUGGCACUUAGAUCUCAGACUCCCAUCCCCAGAACUGUGAGUAAAUAAAUUUUUAAGUUACCCAAUCUGUGGUAUUUUAUUAUAUCACAGCCCAAGUGGACUAAUAUGGAGAAGACUCAACAUAGUAAUAAAUAAAUAAGUCAAAUAAAUUGAAGUAAACAAUCAAGUGGGAGUAGACUUCUUAUAGCUGUAUUUAUCUAGCAGAUUUCUAUGCAAAUAUUAAAAAUAAUAAUUACUUAAAUGAGAAAAUAAAUCAUAUAUUAAUAUAUAUAUUGUUAAAUAAAAAUGAGUUAUAAAAUAUGUCCAGUAUGGGUAUAUAUAUGAAAAUAUCAAUGACAUUGGUGAGAAUAAUGUUUAGGCUUAACUGUAUUGUUUUACAUAACUAAAAGUACUAAUUAUAUAAUACAAAAGAGCAGUUGUUGAAGUUUUUAGAUGUAGUUUAACCAAACUGUAAAAUAUUGCAAGUUAGUACUUCGAGGAAAUGAAUGGUAGCAUUACAUUAUGUAGCGAUAACAUAUUCCAGAUUUUGGAAAACUCUGAAUAAAUAUGCUGUAUUCCAAAGCUAAGCUUUUCAAGUUCUAAUGCCAAGACCAUAUUUAGAUUUUGAGAGUCUUCCUACCUAUUAAUGAAGCAUAGUUUAUAUAUGUUGUUUUUAUAUAUCUUAAAAAUUUUGAAACUUUUGGCAUUUAAUAUGCAAAAGAUAUAAAUUCUACAAUAGUAAAAAGAAUUCAACCAUUUCUUAACUACCAACACUAACUAGUGUAGUUAAGAGUAAGUAAUUUAUGCAGUGGAUAAUCUGAUUAAAUAUUUGGUCUUCACUCAAACUCUACUCUCCAAUUUAUCCGUUUCGAAAACUUAGUCAUGGUAACAGAGGACACUGAAUAUUUUACCUGGGGUAUGAUAGUUUUAGAGCAAAACUUGUCAAUAUUUUAUACCAUUCAGUACUGUUUAAAUAUUCUGACCAGAGCCAUGUGGGGGUGAGAGGGUGGUCAAGAAAUGUCAUAAUCUUCCUCAAAUGCAUCCUCAGGAAUUAUCAGGGUGAAUGUAAAGGAUGUAGUGAAGCUCAAGAAUGAGACGAAGUAUGAGUUCAUAUUUUAUUGACUGACUGACACAAUCCAGGUACUGGGGCCAGAAAAGAGAAUAAGACUAACUAGGUCCAGGAGAUCCUGGAGCUUAUUUUUUAGAAGGAUAAUCAUAACAAUAACAGUAAAUAAGCAAUAACAAGAUAAAUUCAGAUAAUUAUAUGUUAAAGAGUUAACAAGAGAACAUGAAAGAGUGAUGUGAAAAGAGUUCUAAGAGACCUCAAGUUUGUGUGGUUGGGAGGAUCUCUACAAAGAGGUAAGAUGAGAGGGGACCCAAAUGACCAGAAACCGCUUCCAGGAGAGUGUCAAGAGGAAGGAUAUUCCAGCCACAUGGAACUGCUAAUACAAAAGCAGAAAUAAGCUUGGUAUCUACAAAGCACAGAACAUUUAAAAAGCUGUAUACUGAGCACACAAGCAGGAAUGAUAGAUUUAAAAAACUAAGUUAAAGUUAAAAACUGAUAUAUAUGCCAGAACAGGGAUUUAAAUUUUGUUUUGUGUAGAAUAAAAAGCCACUGGAUUGCCUUAGGCAGAGGAGUAAUAUGACAGGAUUUCUAUUCAUAAAGAAUCCUUCUGGUUGACUAAUUUUAAGAAAAUGUCCUGAAUUGGGAGAUGGAAAAUAAGAAUGAUUUUUACAAAUGAAUUAAGUGAGUCUUAUGAUCAGACACAUUUGAGAAACUAUAUCGUAAGUGACGAAUGCCAACAUUACCACCAGGGAGGCAAUGCUUACGUUUGGUGUAUGUUUAUCAGAACUUGAUAAAUGUGACAAAUUUGUUUACUCUGAAUCUGUUUAUAAAAAAUCAAAAUGUCCCACUCAUGUUAACUUGGUCUGUGAUCUCCCGAAAUUUAUAUACUAGAGAAUUAAUUCAGACAUUAAACAAUUAAAUGAAAAGGAGCAUUAAUGUCUGUCCCCAAGGGAAGGUGACACUAAACAGCAAAUACAAAAACACCGUGACUGUGACUGGUCAACCAAGAAACUGCAGGAGAAAGAAAAAAUUUCUCCUCCUCUUUGAACAAUGGGCCUAGCAUUUUUAUUUUGUACUGGGGCCCACGAAUUAUGUUGCUGACCCUGUCUGUAGAUUGUCCUCACCUAUAAAAUCAGAAUUAAAACCUUUAUUUUUAGAGUUGUAACAAUUCCAUAAAAUGAAACAUAAGUAGUACUUGGUACAAUGCUCAACACAUUUAGGAGGUCAAGAGAAGACAGCUUCUCUCUACCCCCUCACCACCUCUACUCUUUGCCAUUGAUUAAGAACAUGUUUCCUAAGAUAGUUAACUUCCAGGAGCCUUGGCUUCCUCACUCAAAUGAGAAGGUUGGGAGAGACACUGAGAUCUCUCUCCUGUGUCCACAGCAUUGUUUCUCUCUACAAAUAACGGGGUCCUUGUACCAGCACAUCGGAGUAUCAUGACACACAUGGCAUGUCAGGAGCACCUCCCAGCUCAUAGAGUAGCUUCUCCUAAUUACUGACCCAGUCAACACUCUACCUUAUAAAAAGAAGCAUCUGUUAUAAGGACUUCUUUCUUACUCUUUCUUUCUUCUUGUCUCUUUCCUUCCUUCUCCCCCUUUCCUUCAUUCCUUCCUUCUUUCUGGAAUAUUGGUAUCAUUGCUUUUUAUCUUAUUUAAGCUGUUGCAUUAUUUCUAAUGUCUUUGAUGUUUUAAUUUUUCAUAAAAUAUUAACUUAUGUACAAUCAUUAUUAAGUGCUUCUUAUCUUAAUACAAGGACAGCUGUACCUACUUCUUACAUUUUAAACCUGGUGAUUAAAAUAUUUGAUUGGCGUUCCUGUCGUGGCGUAGUGGUUAACAAAUCCUACUAGGAACCAUGAGGUUGCAGGUUCAAUCCCUGGUCUUGCUUAGUGGGUUAAGGAUCCAGCGUUGCUGUGAGCUGUAGUGUAGGUUGCAGAUGCAGCUCGGAUCUCAUGUGGCUGUGGCUGUGGCGUAGGCCAGUGGCUACAGCUCUGAUUUGACCCCUAGCCUGGGAAAUUCCGUAUGCCGCAGGAGCAGCUCAAGAAAAAAGCAAAAAGACAAAAAAAUAAAUAAAUAAAAAUAAAUAAAUAAAUUAUUUGACCCUCUGAAAACACAUUAUACUUUGUAUCAGAAGCAAUAUACAAAUGUAUAAUUUUAUGGAAC